Molecule: ribosomal RNA, 353 nt
Filed under: uncultured Paraglomeraceae
Lineage: Eukaryota; Fungi; Glomeromycota; Glomeromycetes; Paraglomerales
Description: eukaryotic LSU rRNA
Source: RNAcentral
GUGAAAUUGUUGUAAACGGGAAACGAUUGAAGUCAGUCGUGCCGGCCGGGGGGAGUUCAGCGAGUUUCCGUGGGAAUGAGCGUAUUUCCUCGCAUGGCAGGUCAGCGUCAGUUUCGCGCGUCGUGAAAUGGUUCUGGUAAGGUAGCUCUCUUCCGGGGAGUGUUAUAGACCAAAGCAGAUGCCGGGGGGUGCGAGACUGAGGAUUGCAGCGAACACCCUUCGGGGCGCGGCGACCGAUCCCUGCUCUGUCACCUUCGUCCGAUAGCGUGCUAACGGUCGGGGGAGCGGCGGUUGCACCGGGUUGGCAGGCCGGCGGCUUCGCUAAGGAUGCUGACGUAAUGGCUUUAAACGAC